This 32-nucleotide non-coding RNA is filed under the name Mus musculus (house mouse). The record is from RNAcentral. Lineage: Eukaryota; Metazoa; Chordata; Mammalia; Rodentia; Muridae.
UAAGAGGCAGGCAGUAGCUAUCACUACUGGAU